RNAcentral lists this ribosomal RNA (442 nucleotides) under uncultured bacterium. RNAcentral's name for it is "partial 16S ribosomal RNA". It matches the Rfam family "Bacterial small subunit ribosomal RNA", at positions 338 to 795 of the family's 1533-position model. The record is from RNAcentral.
CCUACGGGGGGCUACAGUGGGGAAUCUUCGGCAAUGGGCUCAAGCCUGACCCAGCAACGCCGCGUGAAGGAAGCAGGCUUUCGUGUUGUAAACUUCUUUUAAGAGGGAAGAGCAGAAGACGGUACCUCUUCAAUAAUCUACGGCUAACUACGUGCCAGCACCCGCGGUAAUACGUAGGUGGCAAGCGUUGUCCGGAUUUACUGGGUGUAACGGGCGUGCAGCAGGGAAGACAAGUCAGAUGUGAAAUCCCGCGGCUCAACCGCGGAACUGCAUUUGAAACUGUUUUGCUUGAGUACCGGAGAGGUCAUCGGAAUUACAUGUGUAGCGGUGAAAUGCGUAGAUAUAAGGAAGAACACCAGUGGCGAAGGCGGAUGACUGGACGGCAACUGACGGUGAGGCGCGAAAGCGUGGGGAGCAAACAGGAUUAGAUACCCUUGUAGUC